GAUGAAGGCACCUGUUUACUUUGAGCGAUACGAAGUGCGUGGUGAUAUGAAGUGUAUGCCGGAGGAAGUAAUUGAUUCGAUUAAGAAGAAUAAGGUUUGUCUGAAAGGAGGGCUAAGGACUCCGGUUGGCGGAGGUGUUAGUUCGCUAAAUGUGCAAAUGAGGAAAGAGCUUGAUUUGUACGCUUCCAUUGUGCAUUGUUUUACUCUGCCAGGGUUGCCUACGCGGCAUGAGGAUGUGGAUAUUGUUGUGAUUAGGGAGAAUACUGAGGGAGAGUAUGCUGGCCUUGAGCAUGAGGUUGUUCCUGGUGUCGUUGAGAGCCUUAAGGUGAUAACAAAAUAUUGCUCAGAACGAAUAGCAAAAUUUGCGUUUGAGUAUGCUCAUGUGAACAAAAGAAAGAAGGUCACAGCUGUGCACAAAGCCAACAUUAUGAAACUUGCAGAUGGUCUAUUCUUAGAAUCCUGUAGGGAAGUUGCAGCUAAAUAUCCAGAAAUACAGUAUGAGGAGAUUAUUGUGGAUA
Molecule: unclassified non-coding RNA, 518 nt
Filed under: Hevea brasiliensis (rubber tree)
Lineage: Eukaryota; Viridiplantae; Streptophyta; Magnoliopsida; Malpighiales; Euphorbiaceae
Source: RNAcentral